GCAUAUAUUCAUGAAAAAAAGAGAAGACAAAGUACACUAAAAUAAUUUAUUCAAUUAAUUCAAACAGAGGAGAUUAUGAUCAUUUCUAUCUCAUUUUCAGUUUAAUAACAAAUAAAAAAAAUAACCCCAAUAUUUGUUGCAGUGGUUUAAAUGAAGUCUUGGAGCAAGCCGUAAACUCGAAUAUCUUGCGAUCAAAUUCCACUAACUGCAAAAUGUCAAGUCCAAAAAGUCAUGAGGCCACGAAAGCGCCUGAUCUGGGAUCGGUUGGGAAAAACUCCAUAUUAUCAAAAAAAAAAAAACCUAUUUUCAAUGAAGAUAAUUUUAACAAAAUAUAUUUUUUGAAAAUUAUUUUCUACAAAAAAAUUUGUGAAACAAACCAACCCUAAAAUUCUC
This 393-nucleotide long non-coding RNA is filed under the name Panax ginseng (ginseng). RNAcentral describes it as "long non-coding RNA (PGIN_LNC001905)". The record is from RNAcentral. Lineage: Eukaryota; Viridiplantae; Streptophyta; Magnoliopsida; Apiales; Araliaceae.